This is a long non-coding RNA of Canis lupus familiaris (dog), 1904 nucleotides long. RefSeq lists it as uncharacterized. Lineage: Eukaryota; Metazoa; Chordata; Mammalia; Carnivora; Canidae. The transcript is spliced from 5 exons. The record is from RefSeq and is a predicted model, not a curated record.
AAGAAAAUGAAUGCCAAACAGUCAAAAAACUUUAACAAUUUAAUAGGUUAUAUCAUUUCCCACUAGUUCUAGUAUUAGUGAACAAGUUCGGUGAGAUGGCCCCUGCCGAGGCCAGUUGGCCUUCAGCUGAAGGCAUACAAUGCGAAUCAGGAGAAGCAUCUUAGUGCUAUUGGAUCAGUUUUCUGAGAAAGGUGUAGAUACAUUAGAGUAUCUUUUGGGGGGCAGGGGGGUACUAUGAUGGUGAGAGAACCAUCCCGAUAAAACCAUAUGAUAAAAGUCAUAUCCUACAAAGAAGAGUUGAAGGAAUAGGAAUAUUUUGUCAGGAGAAAAAAGGUUUCAGGAGAGAUAGGGUAGCUGCCAUCACAUGAUGGUCAUGUGUCUGGUGGCUUUAGAAUCACUAUCUUCCCGAGGAGUAGAUAUGAAACCAAUGAUGUUUAGUACCAAGGGAUAGAUUCAGAAUCAAUGAGAGGAGGUUGGGUCUGCCUUCACUGGGAGCCAGAUGCUGAAAGAAUUCCUAUCAUAAAAAAAAAAAAAAAUUAAAAAAAUAAAAAUAAAAAUAAAACCCAAAAAAUUAGAGCUGAGGUUGGAAAAUUAUAGAAGCAGACGAGAGAGAGAGAGAGAGAGAGAGAGAGAGAGAGCUGUUUCCCCAGAGUUUGGGUUUCUAUAUUUUAUCUGCAGUUAUUAAAUAGGGGCAAGAUAUUCAUCACUGUGGGUGGGGGCAGGAUUUUGGCUUUUUCCUCCUAAUUUGAUCAGGGGUUUCCUAUCGUGGCCUCCACCAUCUUGUGCCUGUGUGGUUGGAAGUGGCUGCUUGUGGAGUGCUGCCAGGAGAGGCCUCUGACCUUCCCUGUAGCUGACCAUGAGUUCUUUGUUGCUUUCAUUCAGAUAUCCUAUUAGAACCCAACUAACUGUCUCCUCUAGCAUAGUCUCCCUCAUUUUAUAGUCAAGAAAACUCAAUUCCUAUCAAAUGAAAUGCCUUGACCAAGAUCACACAGCCUUAGGGACAGAGUUGGGCCUUUUUAUUCCCAGUCAUGUACUGUUAUUGCAAUGACAAGGUGUGCAAUCAUGGAAAGAGAGAAGCUUUAAAAUGGCACAUUCAGGCAUAGCCCAUGUCCUGGCCCUGUGACCUUGGGCAAGUUGCUUAUCUUUUCUGAUCAUCAAUUUCUUCAUCUGCAAGUGGGAAUAAUACCCACUUCAGUGGAUUCCUCUAAGAACUUGAAGAGGGAAUAUUCACAAAGUAGUUACCUGAGUGCCCAGCAAACAGAGGUUGCCUACAAAAAAUACUUGUGUUCUCCAAUUUCCAGCCCUUCUUGCUUGGUUGCUUCCCAAGCCUUCCUGCUGAUACCAUGUCAAUGAUUUUAAGAAGAAGCCUGGACUUUCCUCUAUUCUUUCCAAAUCACACCAUUGAGAGACAGAACUGCGGAGAGAAAAAAGAGAAAUGGAGCCAAUGCAGUGAAAUAUUAGCAGUUAGGGAAUCUGGUGAUUUAACAUGGCCCUUUAAAAAAUGCCUUGGAAGACGUGUCCACCAGCUGCUAGAUCAGAUACACGUUUUUCUUCAUCAGCUGAAGCACCAACAUCCUGGUCAAGCAUGGAUCGGGAGCCACUCAGAUCCCUUGGCUUUGUGCUUCCUUUCAGCCCAUAGCCUGUGGCAUUUGCUUCCAAACAUCAACUGAAGCACAGGGAAAUUUGCAGUGUUUUCAACAGUUCAGCGGACCUCGCAUCUACUUGCAAGAUGGGAUGCUGCCUGAUUCAGGAAUCAUUUAACAAAGCCAAUUAGAUCUUCAGAUUUACUCGACUGAGUUUUAUUUGGAGACACUCUCUACUGACUCCCCUCAGGCCACAUGCACUGAUGUAACUUGCAAGAAGUUGCUGUGGCCAAGUAAGAAUGGUGAAAAUUAAGAAGACAG